GUUGAACGCUGGCGGCAGGCCUAACACAUGCAAGUCGAGCGGAUGAAGGGAGCUUGCUCCUGGAUUCAGCGUCGGACGGGUGAGUAAUGCCUAUGAAUCUGCCUGGUAGUGGGGGAUAACGUCCGGAAAAGGGCGCGGAUACCACAUACGUCCUGAGGGAGAAAGUUGGGGGGGGUCGGACCUCUCGCUAGCAGAUGGACCUAGAUCGGAUUGGCGAGUUGGUGGGGUGAAUGCCUACCAAGCCGACGAUCCGUAACUGGUCUGAGAGGGUGAUCAGUCACCCUGGAACUGAGACACGGUCCAGGCUCCUGCGGGAGGGAGCAGUGGGGAAUAUUGGACAAUGGGCGAAAGCCUGAUACAGCCAUGGCGAGUGUGUGAAGAAGGUCUUCGGAUUGUAAAGCACUUUAAGUUGGGAGGAAGGGCAGUAAGUUAAUACCUUGCUGUUUUGACGUUACCAACAGAAUAAGCACCGGCUAACUUCGUG
Molecule: ribosomal RNA, 484 nt
Filed under: uncultured bacterium
Lineage: Bacteria
Description: partial 16S ribosomal RNA
Rfam family: Bacterial small subunit ribosomal RNA
Source: RNAcentral